UUGAAAGGGAAACGAUUGAAGUCAGUCAUGCCAGUGGGAAUCAACUUAGGGGAAACUCUGGGUGCACUUCUUCGCUUGGCAGGUCAACGUCGAUUUUGAAUGUCAUAAAAUAAUUGGGGGAAGGUAGCUCCUUCGGGAGUGUUAUAGCCCUUGAUAGAUGUGAUGUUUGGGGUCGAGGAUUGCAACGGAUACCCUUCGGGGCUAGCCGCCUGAUCUCUAAUUGGUGUUGGGUUACGGAUAGCAUGCUGACCGUGAUCUAAUUACUGGUUAAAAGGUUAGAGUGUGCAUAAAUUCGUUAAGGAUGUUGACGUA
RNAcentral lists this ribosomal RNA (312 nucleotides) under uncultured Glomeromycotina. RNAcentral describes it as "LSU rRNA". Lineage: Eukaryota; Fungi; Glomeromycota. The record is from RNAcentral.